RNAcentral lists this transfer RNA (24 nucleotides) under Sceloporus undulatus hyacinthinus. Its description in RNAcentral is "partial tRNA-Phe". Lineage: Eukaryota; Metazoa; Chordata; Lepidosauria; Squamata; Phrynosomatidae. The record is from RNAcentral.
GGCCAAAAAAAAUCCCCAAAAACA